Molecule: long non-coding RNA, 597 nt
Organism: Myotis daubentonii (Daubenton's bat)
Lineage: Eukaryota; Metazoa; Chordata; Mammalia; Chiroptera; Vespertilionidae
Exons: 3
Source: RefSeq, a predicted model, not a curated record
CCGGCCUGCGCCUCUCCCAGCUGCGCCAGAGGGGGCGCGGUCUGGAAUGCUCCGCCAACAUCCCGCGGCCGCCACCCGCUGCCGGGACUUGCUCGAGCUCUCGCGAGAUUAUCUGUAAUCGCGGCUGGGCUUGGGAAGCGGGCCCGGCUGUAACCUUAGGAACCCCGAGAGCCUUCGAAGCUCUGCUUCGCAAUCCCAGCGCGGAUUCUCCUGAAAGGAACACUCAAUGGCCUCUGAGCAGUCUGGAGGGGUCAGUUAGACCAUCUGCUUGCCUGCCUCGGCACCGAGAGCCCCCCUGGAAACCGUGAGGGGCUGAGCUCCCCGUGCUUCCCAGUAGCCAUCAUUCCCUUGUAAUACAUCAUCAGGGAUCUGCCGCUACUGUGGAAAGAAGGAACUAGAGGAAGACCAGCGUACAAGCAGGGGGAACAGUGGGGAAGCUGCUGCAGCGGUCCGGGUGAACAACUGGAGAAGUCCAGAGGUGUGCAGACUGGAAGGAGGAAGCUUGCUCAGGUUAACAUCUUGCCAUGUGUAAGCACAAAUUGUGGGUGGCCCUCUCCAGCUUCCUUGAGGAUGGCUGUGCACGCUCCUGAAGCUUCA